This 267-nucleotide unclassified non-coding RNA is filed under the name plant metagenome. RNAcentral describes it as "partial contains small subunit ribosomal RNA, internal transcribed spacer 1, and 5.8S ribosomal RNA". The record is from RNAcentral.
UUUCCGUAGGUGAACCUGCGGAAGGAUCAUUAUCGUACAAAAUGUGAGGGGCAUGCGAGGGCUGUCGCUGACCCAAAAGUCAUGCACGCCCGAGUGUGUCCUCUUGCAUAAUACUCCAUCUCACCCUUUGUGCAUCACCGCGUGGGCACCCUUCGGGAUCAUCUCGGUGGGGGGCUCGCGUUUUCACACAAACCCCCCUUUUAAAAGUGUAGAAUGACCACAUUUAUGCAAUCAAUACAACUUUCAACAACGGAUCUCUUGGCUCUC